This 631-nucleotide long non-coding RNA is filed under the name Anser brachyrhynchus (Pink-footed goose). RNAcentral describes it as "lncRNA (ENSABRG00000003301.1)". Lineage: Eukaryota; Metazoa; Chordata; Aves; Anseriformes; Anatidae. The record is from RNAcentral.
CAAGCUGUCUCUUGAUUGACCUAUCUAUAAAAUGUCAUUGAUCAGUUGUGUUAAGAGGGCAGGUGGGUUAGCUGCAUCAUUUUCUUCUCUUAGGUUAGCCACACACAGGUAGCUUUAAUUCCCCAAGUCCGCAGGAUCUGGGAAGAGGAAUGAACUUUAAGAUUCCACAGCAUGAAAAAUUCAAGAAUGGCUUCUACAAAGCAGUCAUAUUCCAGAGAUACACUUUUGAAAGGAAUGUGAACACUAUAAAUUACUCCAGAACCUGCAUUCCUGUCUGAGUGUAACAAUAUGAUGAAAUAGGAGGAAACACUUUCUAUGGUGAAGUGACUGAUGAAAAAAAAAAAAAGUGAGAAUUAUGGUUUGUACCUAUUUGGUGGCAGCUUCGAGGUGCUUCUGAGCUUGUUUUGUGUUAUACUUCUUGGCUUCCUGGAGUCUACUUCUGAAGAAAUAUCUCACAAGGAACAAGCGUGACAAGAAUGUACAGAAUGGAAGGAAGAUGAAGCUCUUAUUUGUGAUUAUGCACAUUGAACUUUCCUUUUCUAGUGUAAGAGUCCACUGGAAAUAGCUGAGAAAGGAAUAUUAUACAGCCAAACAUCACAAAGCCUGUCUGAUCAAAUGAAUUUACUCAUUG